Capsicum annuum is the source of this 2971-nucleotide RNA transcript. RefSeq lists it as uncharacterized. Lineage: Eukaryota; Viridiplantae; Streptophyta; Magnoliopsida; Solanales; Solanaceae. The transcript is spliced from 6 exons. The record is from RefSeq and is a predicted model, not a curated record.
UACGUCUCUCAUUCUCACAAAUAUUGCUCUCAAUCUCUCAAUACGCCUCUCAUUCUCACAAAUGUUGCUCUCAAUCUCAACAAGAAGCUCACGACAGCUUAAUCAAGUGUUUUCCGUGACUCAAUAGCUCUUGGGUUUUCCAUGACUCAACAAGAAGCUCACGAUAGCUCUUGGGUCUUCCGUAACUCAACAGCUUAAUCAAGUGUCAAGACAACUUGGGUUUUCUUCUUCUUGGAUUUCUCAUUUUCUUGGCAGGAGGAUUGUGAGGAUUUGCGUGGAAGAAUUUCUCGAUAUAGUUUGCAGUUUGCAGGUUUGUCUCCUUUUCCAUGCUAGUUGACCAGCAUGCCAAGGUCUUGCAUCAAUAUGUAAAAACAAGAAAUGCUUGCCUUUAUUGUCAUUGAACUAUUGGUGAGUUGUUAUGGAAUAGCAAGAUUGCUAUUAUCCAGUGUAUUCCCACAAAGUGGGGCCCAAACACCACGAUUAUGAAAAGAACUGCUGGAUUAGCAAGGUAAAGUAACUCCUAAGUCUUCUCCCUUGUAACAGAUAUACAAAUGCUCCUUUAAGAGACCUUUUAUUUUCUUAUAUAGAAGAUAGUAGGUCUUAAUGAUUGGAAAGAACCAUUUUCUUCAGAUACAUAAGCAGGGAUGAAUUGGGACAAAGAUGGAAGCAAAUAUCCACAUAUAGUUUCUACAAAAAUAGGAAAAAACAAAAAGAAAGGGAUCUCUUACUUUGUAUGCCAGAACAUACUGAUUUACUUAGUUGCUGGAUCAAAAGAGGGGGAAGAAAGAUCCAUUUUCUCUUUGUAACUGUCUAGUAUACUAUAAAAAUAGAACAGAUAGUUAAAUCUUUUAGGUUGUUUGUUUGUUUUUGCUCUCUGUCUCUUUUUGGAGGUCUCCAGCAUUAGGGAGGAAUAUGACAUAACCAUUUUUAAUUUUUUUUAAAAAAGGAUUUUUUAUUGCACUCAGCUGGGGGAAAGAACAGGAUAAAAUUAUCGUUGGAUAAUAGAAUUUUCAUGUAUUAGGGAAUUUGUAUCUGCAAGUAACAAUCUAGACAUUGAAAACAUCUUAGGCCACCAAAAGAUGGUAGCUUUGAAAGGAAAAUGGAGGAAACCAUUGUCUGUUUGAUUUAAUUAAACACUUGGUUUCUGCAUUAUUGUUCUUCUCCUCUUCAUUUAUUUCCUUGUUCUUACUGUUAUUGUUCUCUAUUAUUAUUCCUAUGUGAUGUUGUGCAGUAGUUGUGCUACUGCUGUUCAACAUGCUUAUUGUAGGUAUUAAUCCUCUUUCUUCAUUCAUCUGGUGCAUUUUUUUACUUAUAUUAUCCUUUUCACGCCCAUAACCCUUGUUGGUUUCUUUUUGUUUUAUGAUAAUUUGUUUUGUACCUUUUUGUUAUAUGCCAUAACUUCAGCACGAGUAUGAUUUACAUUCAGUUCCUUUUGUCCAAAAACCACCGUGAUGCUUGUAGCGCCAUCAUUGUUAAUUGGGAUGAAUAUAUUCUUGAUAGGUUCUUUGGGUGAAGUAGCAUUUUAUCGGUUCAUUAUAUGCAGUGUUGUAAUGCUGAUUUACUAUGUAUUUUUUAUUAUCAAGCGACCUUUAUGUAAAUAGUUUGGAAAGAAAUAAUGCUUAUUCUAUACAAUACUCUACUAUGGUCCAGCAUAAGAUGGGAAUAUAUGCGAAUGAGUACCUGUUCUAAUAAUGAAGCUCUGUGCAGUUAUUUGCUCUUUCCUGAUUCACUGUACAUAUCUAUAUUAUGUCAAAACACUUUAUGAUGCAGAAAAGCACCUGAUGGUAGAAACGACAAUCUAACGUCUUGGUGGCUAGUAAAGAAAAUCAAUGGCAUCAAAAGGUAAUGUUAAUGGACGACGUAAGAAAAGUAAUAAAGGACAUGACAAUCUUUCUACAGGUUAAUAUACACUACCAUCACCGCCUGUUACCACAACUCUUCAACCAGCUACUACAAAUAUUUCUCCCCCUCUUAGAUCAACUAUUUCACUACCAAAUGAAUUUUUCAUGCCUCCACCGUCUGACCAGUUCCAUACCUCUUCAUCCAAAAAUAGUCUUCAUAGUAGCUCUUUAUCCGUGCCUUCAACAUCAUCCGCACCAAGCCUUUCUGGAUUAAGAGUUGGAGGUCCUAACACACCUACAUCGCCAUCCAUUGAUAGUGCUACAACACCUAAUGCUACAGCAGCUGCUUCUCAGAAUUUGCAAUUUAAAGAGGUAUUAGAAUAUGACAAGGUUAGGAGGCUACAAAUCGUCCCUUAUUGUGAUGGGUUCAUUCCAGCAUAUACGGCCGGGCAUAUGGUUAUAGAAGCAAUUAAAUUAUUUUUUAAAAAGCAGUGGAAUAGUUGGUUUGAGAUUCCAUGGGAAAUUAGAAUUGACAUGUGGAAACAGUUUAUGGUAUAAGUAGUUUUAUAAGCUAUGAAUCUCAUUGCCUAAAGAUAGUUUUUCCAUUUUAUCCAUCAACUCAUUUUAUGACUUUAUAUUAAGCUAUUUUGUAGACAAUGUGUUCAUGGAGUAAUUGUCAUGUUAAUGAAAUAGACCGCAUUUUUUGGUUGAAAGCAGCUCUACAGAUCAAAGAACACUUGUAUGAGGCCCGGAGAAAAUUGGUAAAACCUAGUUGAUUGAAUGAUAAAGUGUGGACUUAGUUCUUGAUAUUAUGGGACACUCUUGAAUAUAAGGCACAGAGGGAACGAGGAAAGACAAACCGAGCCUCUGAAAUAGGUGGCUCGCUGCAAACCGAAGGUUCGAUGAGUUUCGCUACCCACCAAUGAAGACUAGUACUAUUCUUGUCCAACCCUUUUAUCCAUUUACAUGUGAUACUUUGAGUAAAUAAUUUAUUAUUAUUGUCGAAUUUGUGUCUUCUGUAGCUGCAAUUAAGCUAACGGGAAGCCUGGAUUUAGUUUAUUAAUACCCUACCUAUUAAGCGUUUAACUAUAAAGUCUGAACUCUGAUAAUGCAUAGUGCUUAUUAGUCGA